AGGGUGCGUAGGCGGUUUAUUAAGUCAGUGGUGAAAUCUCGGGGCUUAACCUCGAAAUUGCCAUUGAUACUGAUGAGCUAGAGAAUAGUUGCGGUAGGCGGAAUGUAUGGUGUAGCGGUGAAAUGCUUAGAGAUCAUACAGAACACCGAUUGCGAAGGCAGCUUACCAAACUAUAUCUGACGUUGAGGCACGAAAGCGUGGGGAGCAAACAGGAUUAGAUACCCUGGUAGUCCACGCAGUAAACGAUGAUAACUCGCUGUCGGCGAUACACAGUCGGUGGCCAAGCGAAAGCGAUAAGUUAUCCACCUGGGGAGUACGUUCGCAAGAAUGAAACUCAAAGGAAUUGACGGGGGCCCGCACAAGCGGAGGAACAUGUGGUUUAAUUCGAUGAUACGCGAGGAACCUUACCCGGGCUUGAAAGUUAGCGACGGAUCUGGAAACAGGUCUUCCCUUCGGGGCGCGAAACUAGGUGCUGCAUGGUUGUCGUCAGCUCGUGCCGUGAGGUGUCGGGUUAAGUCCCAUAACGAGCGCAACCCCUGCUGUUAGUUGCCAUCAGGUUAAGCUGGGCACUCUAGCGGGACUGCCUCUGUAAGGAGGAGGAAGGUGGGGAUGACGUCAAAUCAGCACGGCCCUUACGUCCGGGGCGACACACGUGUUACAAUGGUAGGUACAGAGGGCAGCCACCCAGCGAUGGGGAGCAAAUCUCGAAAGCCUAUCUCAGUUCGGAUUGGAGGCUGAAACUCGCCUCCAUGAAGUUGGAUUCGCUAGUAAUC
Molecule: ribosomal RNA, 773 nt
Filed under: uncultured Bacteroidota bacterium
Lineage: Bacteria; Pseudomonadati; Bacteroidota
Description: bacterial SSU rRNA
Rfam family: Bacterial small subunit ribosomal RNA
Source: RNAcentral